AGUGAACGCUGGCGGUAGGCCUAACACAUGCAAGUCGAACGGCAGCGCAGUAAGAGCUUGCUCUUACGGGUGGCGAGUGGCGGACGGGUGAGGAAUACAUCGGAAUCUACUUUUUCGUGGGGGAUAACGUAGGGAAACUUACGCUAAUACCGCAUACGACCUACGGGUGAAAGCAGGGGAUCUUCGGACCUUGCGCGAUUGAAUGAGCCGAUGUCGGAUUAGCUAGUUGGCGGGGUAAAGGCCCACCAAGGCGACGAUCCGUAGCUGGUCUGAGAGGAUGAUCAGCCACACUGGAACUGAGACACGGUCCAGACGCCUACGGGAGGCAGCAGUGGGGAAUAUUGGACAAUGGGCGCAAGCCUGAUCCAGCCAUACCGCGUGGGUGAAGAAGGCCUUCGGGUUGUAAAGCCCUUUUGUUGGGAAAGAAAAGCAGCAGGUUAAUACCCCGCUGUUCUGACGGUACCCAAAGAAUAAGCACCGGCUAACUUCGUG
This 492-nucleotide ribosomal RNA is filed under the name uncultured bacterium. RNAcentral's name for it is "partial 16S ribosomal RNA". It matches the Rfam family "Bacterial small subunit ribosomal RNA", at positions 29 to 507 of the family's 1533-position model. The record is from RNAcentral.